Molecule: long non-coding RNA, 480 nt
Organism: Ostrinia nubilalis (European corn borer)
Lineage: Eukaryota; Metazoa; Arthropoda; Insecta; Lepidoptera; Crambidae
Exons: 2
Source: RefSeq, a predicted model, not a curated record
GCUCUGUGCACGAUUACAGCGCCAACUAGCGUCCACAACUUUGUGGGCUCUGUCACAUUGACAUUUAGGUCGUAUAUUUGUGAAAAAAUAUCGAAAUGAAAAAAUAACAAAUAUUUUCGACUAAUAAAUUGUUGUGAUACCACGAUUUGGGUGGAAAAAAGGUUUUGAAAUCAUUUUGGUCAUUCAAAUCAAAUGAGAUCGAAAUGAGUAUUGUUUUGAAGACCUGAUUUGUGAGUGUUACAAUAUCAAAUUCCAACCACAAACCGUAUUUAAAGGAAAGUUGUUGGUAUUGGCUGGACAAGUCCGAGAUGUAGAAGAAUUGAGAACAAAACAAGGGCAGAGUUCAAUAAUUCACGCUCUCAUCAUAAGGCAAACAUUUGUGCACAACAACUACUGUAACUCAUUUUUGUACUACCACGUUGUAUAGUCUAGUUAUUUCCAAAUUGUAAACGGCUAUUAAACCAGCCCUAUCGAAAUACA